Molecule: long non-coding RNA, 1211 nt
Filed under: Salmo salar (Atlantic salmon)
Lineage: Eukaryota; Metazoa; Chordata; Actinopteri; Salmoniformes; Salmonidae
Description: lncRNA (ENSSSAG00000109649.1)
Source: RNAcentral
GCUCAACGAGAGAGUGAGAGAGAGAGAGAAACAAGAUCUCACGGUUUGAAAAAUUUGAAUUUAGAUUCUUGAAUUUGAAUGUUGAAUGUUUUUCCAAACGUCACAAUUCAAGGUGUUUUCUCCACCUCGAUCUGCUCCAAACGUCCCAAUUCAAGGUGUUUUCUCCACCCCGAGCUGCUCCUCCCGCUGGACCCUGUGUGGCACCUCGCGGCUAGUUAAGGGUUAAGUUUAGACAUUCACUCUGAAUGGUUACGUUAAGGGUGGCCGGUAGCCUAAUGGUUAGAGCGUUGGACUAGGAACUGGAAGGUUGCUAAAUUAAAUCCCCGAGCUGACAAGGUAAAAAUCUGUUGUUCUGCGACUGAACAAGGCAGUUAAUAAGUUAACCCACUGUUCCUAGGCUGUCAUUGUGAAUAAGAAUUUGUUCUUUACUGACUUGCCUUAUUAGAUAAAGGUAAAAUAAAGGGGUUAAGUUUAGACAUUAAUUCUGAUUGGUUAAGUUAAGGGUUAAGUUAAGACAUUAAUUCUGAUUGGUUAAGUUAAAGGUUAAGUUUAGACAUUAAUUCUGAUUUGUUGAGUUAAGGGUUAAGGUUUAGACAUUCAUUCUGAUUGGUUAAGUUAAAGGUUAAGUUUAGACAUUAAUUCUGAUUUGUUGAGUUAAGGGUUAAGGUUUAGACAUUAAUUCUGAUUGGUUAAGUUUAGACAUUAAUUCUGAUUUGUUGAGUUAAGGGUUAAGGUUUAGACAUUAAUUUUGAUUGGUUAAGUUAAGGGUUAAGGUUUAGACAUUCAUUCUGAUUGGUUAAGUUAAGGGUUAAGGUUUAGACAUUAAUUCUGAUUGGUUAAGUUAAGGGUUAAGGUUUAGACAUUAAUUCUGAUUGGUUAAGUUAAGGGUUAAGGUUUGGGUUGAGGUAAAAAAAAGAAAAAGUAAAGUAACAAAUGAGUGCUUAUAGCCCCUCCCCCAAGCUUACUUGAUAAUAAUAGUGCUCUCUGUUGCCCCUAGUGGCAGGUUUAGAAGGGUACCUAGCAACAUGGCUUCACAGGCUCGUCCACUGAGGAACUUCUGAUGAGUUUGAAUGGUUGAGUUGCUUCAGCGUUUUGUCAGAGAGGUGAUAGUGGGUCAUUAUUCAUUUCUAAAGCCAGACAAUUUUUUGCUUGUAUUGUGUUUUUAUGAGGUAAAUGAAGAUGGCAAUGGAUGGCACUCGAUAGACACGCAC